This 200-nucleotide ribosomal RNA is filed under the name uncultured bacterium. RNAcentral describes it as "partial 16S ribosomal RNA". It matches the Rfam family "Bacterial small subunit ribosomal RNA", at positions 8 to 232 of the family's 1533-position model. The record is from RNAcentral.
AGAGUUUGAUCCUGGCUCAGAGCGAACGCUGGCGGCAUGCUUAAUACAUGCAAGUCGCACGGCCGGGGCAACCCGGCAGUGGCGGACGGGUGAGUAACGCGUAGGAAUCUAUACAUGGGUGGGGGAUAACGCCGGGAAACUGGUGCUAAUACCGCAUGACACCUGAGGGUCAAAGGCGCAAGUCGCCUGUGGAGGAGCCU